Molecule: ribosomal RNA, 854 nt
Filed under: Paramonodictys solitaria
Lineage: Eukaryota; Fungi; Ascomycota; Dothideomycetes; Pleosporales; Parabambusicolaceae
Description: Paramonodictys solitarius partial large subunit ribosomal RNA
Rfam family: Eukaryotic large subunit ribosomal RNA
Source: RNAcentral
AGGGAUUGCCUCAGUAACGGCGAGUGAAGCGGCAACAGCUCAAAUUUGAAAUCUGGCUCUCUUUGGGGGUCCGAGUUGUAAUUUGAAGAGGGUGCUUUGGCGUCGACGGCGGUCUAAGUCCCUUGGAACAGGGCAUCGCAGAGGGUGAGAAUCCCGUAUGUGGCCGCAAGCCUUCGCCGUGUAAAGCCCCUUCGACGAGUCGAGUUGUUUGGGAAUGCAGCUCUAAAUGGGAGGUAAAUAUCUUCUAAAGCUAAAUACCGGCCAGAGACCGAUAGCGCACAAGUAGAGUGAUCGAAAGAUGAAAAGCACUUUGGAAAGAGAGUCAAACAGCACGUGAAAUUGUUGAAAGGGAAGCGCUUGCAGCCAGACUUGCUCGCAGUUGCUCAUCCGGGCUCUCGCCCGGUGCACUCUUCUGCGGGCAGGCCAGCAUCAGUUUGGGCAGCCGGAUAAAGACCUCUGUCACGUAUCUUCCUUCGGGAUGACCUUAUAGGGGAGGUGCAAUGCGGUUAGCCCGGACUGAGGUCCGCGCAUCUGCUAGGAUGCUGGCGUAAUGGCUGUAAGCGGCCCGUCUUGAAACACGGACCAAGGAGUCUAACAUCUAUGCGAGUGUUUGGGUGUCAAGCCCGGGCGCGCAAUGAAAGUGAACGGAGGUGGGAGCCCUCUCGGGGGUGCACCAUCGACCGAUCCUGAUGUCUUCGGAUGGAUUUGAGUAAGAGCAUAGCUGUUGGGACCCGAAAGAUGGUGAACUAUGCUUGAAUAGGGUGAAGCCAGAGGAAACUCUGGUGGAGGCUCGCAGCGGUUCUGACGUGCAAAUCGAUCGUCAAAUUUGGGCAUAGGGGCGAAAGACUAAUCGA